UACGUAGGUCCCGAGCGUUGUCCGGAUUUAUUGGGCGUAAAGCGAGCGCAGGUGGUUUAUUAAGUCUGGUGUAAAAGGCAGUGGCUCAACCAUUGUAUGCAUUGGAAACUGGUGGACUUGAGUGCAGGAGAGGAGAGUGGAAUUCCAUGUGUAGCGGUGAAAUGCGUAGAUAUAUGGAGGAACAUCGGUGGCGAAAGCGGCUCUCUGGCCUGUAACUGACACUGAGGCUCGAAAGCGUGGGGAGCAAACAGG
RNAcentral lists this ribosomal RNA (252 nucleotides) under uncultured bacterium. RNAcentral's name for it is "partial 16S ribosomal RNA". It matches the Rfam family "Bacterial small subunit ribosomal RNA", at positions 524 to 776 of the family's 1533-position model. The record is from RNAcentral.